Molecule: RNA transcript, 1098 nt
Organism: Triticum dicoccoides
Lineage: Eukaryota; Viridiplantae; Streptophyta; Magnoliopsida; Poales; Poaceae
Exons: 6
Source: RefSeq, a predicted model, not a curated record
UAGUGGACGACCGUCGGUCUCUUCCGUGGUGAGCCGUGAAUCAGAAUCCGUCUCCCCGUCUGAUCCGUGGACCAGGAAAUUCGAUUUCCGUGUAGUGGUGACAGGAACGAAUUGAAGGCAGGACCGAGUCUUCUCGGCUACGGCGUCGGUCAUUUGGAAGCUGGAGACUCCGGGACAGGGGCAACUAGCGCCGCCGGCAAGCCGCCAUGGAUUUUCUGAUGCAGCCAAUCAGCAGAUUCAGAUCUAGUCUGCUUGAGGAGGUAGGGGAUAGCUUGGUGCCGGCUCCUGUGGCUGUCAAUCUGGAAGUGGCACCGAAGGCGGAGUGGGAGGCGGCGCAGCAGCUGACGGUGGAUAGCGGUGAAGCACAAAUCUUGUUGGCGGAGGAGGUGGCGGCGAACAGAAGGGAGGGCUCGCCGCCAACGUUGGAGCUGUCGACGGGGAAGAUGAAUCCCCAAGCACCAGGGUGGAACAAAAGGCUAAGAGUUGGUGCUGCUGCCCCCAUCAGAACACCAUGCCCACCUCGUGCGAGUGCGUUUGAGAAGGCAGUCAGGUUUUGGCAUCCGGUAUGGCAAGAGAUGGCUAAAUGUCAAGAGGACAAAGUGCAUGCAGGAGAUAGUUUGUGGGUGCUCGGGUAAAGCUGGGGUCGACAACACAAGGUCUUGAGUGCCCUGCUCUGGUUAGACUUUUACGAGCAGAGGAUAACAGGUGGUACAUUGUACCACAUAGAGACAAUCAGAAAUCUCGACGGGGGAAAUGAACCCUCAAGCGCCAGGAUGGUCUAAGAGCACUGCCUUGCAUACCUCUGAAACUUGAUUGCAUAUGAGGUGAUUUCGAUGAAAGGAAAUAAGGGUGAGCUCCAAGCUUCAUGAUCCAAGUUCUGUUCUACUAGGAGAUUGGUGGUCUGCUGGAGUCUAGAUGGUAUCAUUUUGGUUUUUGGUAUGCAUUUCUAUGGCAAUGUAUUCAGGACUACUCGAGCACGACAUAUUAGGUGUAUUCUGAUGCAUUGGGUUAGUUGCUUAGUGCACCUCUUGCUGAGUGCGGAUAAAAGCUUAUCAGCAAACUUAAUCAUGUCCAGUUGCAUGUACCCCCGCGCUGUGC